RNAcentral lists this small nuclear RNA (157 nucleotides) under Myotis lucifugus (little brown bat). RNAcentral describes it as "U2 spliceosomal RNA". It matches the Rfam family "U2 spliceosomal RNA". From Rfam's summary of the family: U2 is a small nuclear RNA (snRNA) component of the spliceosome (involved in pre-mRNA splicing). Lineage: Eukaryota; Metazoa; Chordata; Mammalia; Chiroptera; Vespertilionidae. The record is from Rfam by way of RNAcentral.
AUCGCUUCUCGGCCUUUUGGCUAAGAUCAAGUGUAGUAACUUCAUGACACACCCUAAAAUACUUCAUUCCUAUAUUUUUUGUCUGCAUACUCUUUGAUCAUCUCUUCUUAUGGCAGUGCUUUUGCAAUAUCGUUUUUAUUGAGAAAAGCGAUAACAA